This 966-nucleotide ribosomal RNA is filed under the name uncultured bacterium. RNAcentral's name for it is "bacterial SSU rRNA". It matches the Rfam family "Bacterial small subunit ribosomal RNA", at positions 71 to 1062 of the family's 1533-position model. The record is from RNAcentral.
AAGUGGAGCUUGCUCCACGGAUUAGUGGCGAACGGGUGAGGAACACGUGAGAAACCUGCCUCGGAUUUUGGGAUAACAAAUGGAAACGUUUGCUAAUACCAAAUAACGUCGGAGAGUCACAUGGCUUUCUGACGAAAGGAAUUCCGAUUCGAGAGGGUCUCGCGGCCUAUCAGCUAGUUGGCGGGGUAAUGGCCCACCAAGGCAACGACGGGUAGCUGGUCUGAGAGGAUGGUCAGCCACACUGGGACUGAGACACGGCCCAGACUCCUACGGGAGGCAGCAGUGGGGAAUCUUGCGCAAUGGGCGAAAGCCUGACGCAGCAACGCCGCGUGCGGGAAGAAGGCUUUCGGGCUGUAAACCGCUUUCAGCAGGAACGAAAAUGACGGUACCUGCAGAAGAAGGAGCGGCCAACUAUGUGCCAGCAGCCGCGGUGAUACAUAGGCUUCAAGCGUUGUCCGGAUUUAUUGGGCGUAAAGAGUUCGUAGGCGGUCAAGUAAGUCGGGUGUGAAAAUUCUGGGCUUAACCCAGAGACGCCACCCGAUACUGCUUAACUUGAGUUCGAUAGGGGAGUGGGGAAUUCCUAGUGUAGCGGUGAAAUGCGCAGAUAUUAGGAGGAACACCGGUGGCGAAGGCGCCACUCUGGAUCGAUACUGACGCUGAGGAACGAAAGCAUGGGUAGCAAACAGGAUUAGAUACCCUGGUAGUCCAUGCCGUAAACGGUGGGCACUAGGUGUGGGAUUCUAUUAACGAAUUCCGCGCCGUCGCUAACGCAUUAAGUGCCCCGCCUGGGGAGUACGGUCGCAAGACUAAAACUCAAGGAAUUGACGGGGGCCCGCACAAGCAGCGGAGCGUGUUGCUUAAUUCGAUGCUACGCGAAAACCUUACCUAGGUUUGACAUGUUUGGAAAGCAGCAGAGAUGUGUGUCCGCAAGGCCAAACACAGUGGUGCAUGGCUGUCGUCAGCUCG